UUUCGAGAUCCUCGCCCACUAGUUGCUAUCAUUAUUCUCAGGAAUAGUGGGGCGAAUUAGUGGGACUGCCGUUGUUAAAACGGAGGAAGGAGGGGGCUACGGCAGGUCAGUAUGCCCCGAAACUCUGGGGCCACACGCGGGCUGCAAUGGUAGCGACAAUGAGUUCCAAACUCGAAAGAGAGUGGCAAUCUCUAAACGCUACCACAGUUAUGACUGAGGGCUGUAACCCGCCCUCACGAAUAUGGAAUCCCUAGUAACCGCGUGUCAUUACCGCGCGGUGAAUACGUCCCUGCUCCUUGCACACACCGCCCGUCGUUUCAUCGAAGUCUGC
RNAcentral lists this ribosomal RNA (331 nucleotides) under uncultured archaeon. RNAcentral's name for it is "bacterial SSU rRNA". It matches the Rfam family "Archaeal small subunit ribosomal RNA", at positions 1043 to 1371 of the family's 1478-position model. The record is from RNAcentral.